GACGAACGCUGGCGGCGUGCUUAACACAUGCAAGUCGAACGAUGAAACCUAGCUUGCUAGGUCGAUUAGUGGCGAACGGGUGAGUAACACGUGACUAACCUGCCCCUUUCUCUGGGAUAACGCUCCGAAAGGAGUGCUAAUACCGGAUACUCACACCGAGGCACAUGCCUUGGUGUGGAAAGUUUUUCGGAAAGGGAUGGAGUCGCGGCCUAUCAGCUUGUUGGUGAGGUAACGGCUAACCAGGGCGACGACGGGUAGCCGGCCUGGGGGGGCGGCCUGCCUCACUGGGACUGAGCCAGGGCCCAGACUCCUGCGGGAUGCAGCAGGGGGGAAUAUUGCACAAUGGGCGCAAGCCCGAUGCAGCGACGCCGCGUGAGGGAUGAAGGUCUUCGGAUUGUAAACCUCUUUCAGUAGGGACGAAGCGAAAGUGACGGUACCUAAAGAAGAAGCACCGGCUAACUACGUGCCAGCCGCCGCGGUAA
Molecule: ribosomal RNA, 482 nt
Filed under: uncultured bacterium
Lineage: Bacteria
Description: partial 16S ribosomal RNA
Rfam family: Bacterial small subunit ribosomal RNA
Source: RNAcentral